This 309-nucleotide ribosomal RNA is filed under the name uncultured bacterium. Its description in RNAcentral is "bacterial SSU rRNA". It matches the Rfam family "Bacterial small subunit ribosomal RNA", at positions 767 to 1073 of the family's 1533-position model. The record is from RNAcentral.
AGCUAAUAGAUACCCGGGUAGUCCUAGCAGUAAACGGUGCAUGCUUGGUAUGGGGACAUAGACAUUCUCCGUGCCGUAAGUUAACACGUUAAGCAUGCCGCCUGGGAAGUACGGUCGCAAAGACUAAAACUCAAAGAAAUUGACGGGGACCGCACGAGCGGUGGAGUAUGUGGCUUAACUACGAUGCAACGCGAUGAACCUUACCUGGACUUGACAUGCAUCUAUAAACGGCGGAAAACGUCGUGAUUGUAGCAAAUACAAAAAUUUGCACAGGUGCUGCAUGGCUGUCGUCAGCUCGUGUCGUGAGAU